ACAACCUCCCAAUACACCAAAUCCACCAUUUCUGGUUUUAAAGCAAAGAAAAAGUUGGGAAUUUUGAUGGGUUUUCUUGUUGAUUCACACAAAGAUGGUGGAUUUGGUGUAUUGGGAGGUUGUGUUAGGAGUUUGGUAAGGAGAAAACAGGUUGAUUCUGCACAUGCCAAAGCUAAUGCUCACCAUAAGUUAGCCAAGGAGUUGUCUGUUCCUCACCUUAUUGCAAUCGGUGUUGGCUCGACAAUUGGCGCUGGAGUUUAUAUUCUGGUUGGAACGGUUGCUAGAGAGCAUUCUGGUCCAGCUCUCACGAUUUCCUUUCUGAUAGCUGGAAUCGCUGCUGCUCUUUCUGCUUUUUGCUAUGCAGAGCUUGCAAGCCGUUGUCCAUCUGCAGGCAGUGCCUAUCACUAUUCUUAUAUAUGUGUUGGAGAAGGUGUUGCAUGGUUGAUUGGCUGGGCUCUAAUAUUGGAAUACACAAUUGGUGGAUCAGCAGUUGCUCGUGGCAUAUCCCCCAAUCUGGCAUUCUUUUUCGGAGGUCAGGAUAGUCUUCCUAUUUUUCUAGCUCGUCAGUACAUUCCUGGGCUUGAUAUUGUGGUUGACCCUGUUGCUGCAAUUUUAGUAUUUAUUGUUACUGGACUCUUGUGUGUGGGAAUCAAGGAGAGUACCCUGGUACAAGGUACAGUCACCACUGUGAAUGUCUGUGUCAUGCUUUUUGUCAUAAUAGCUGGUAGUUACCUGGGCUUCAAGACUGGAUGGAGAGGAUAUGGACUUCCCACUGGGUAUUUUGCCUUCGGAGUAGAUGGGAUGCUCGCAGGGUCUGCAACUGUCUUUUUUGCUUAUAUUGGUUUUGAUUCAGUUGCUAGCACUGCUGAGGAGGUGAAGAAUCCUCAACGAGAUUUGCCUUUGGGCAUAGGCCUUGCACUGUCUAUUUGUUGUACCUUAUACAUGUUGGUUUCGGUAGUUAUUGUGGGGCUGGUACCUUAUCAUGCGAUGAAUCCUGAUACUCCAAUCUCCUCUGCAUUUGCUGAGCAUGGCAUGCAGUGGGCAGCGUACAUAAUAACAGCUGGAGCUGUUAUGGCACUCUGUUCAACACUGAUGGGCUCGGAUUCUUCCUCAGCCACGAAUGUUAAUGGCAAUGGCUAGAGAUGGAUUACUGCCAUCAUUUUUUUUAGAUGUAAAUAAAAAUACACAAGUACCUGUAAAGAGCACUUUGGCAACUGGCAUUGGUGCUGCAAUGUUGGCAUUUUUUAUGGAUGUUGAUCAGUUGGCUGGAAUGGUCAGUGUGGGCACACUUCUUGCUUUCA
RNAcentral lists this unclassified non-coding RNA (1301 nucleotides) under Hevea brasiliensis (rubber tree). Lineage: Eukaryota; Viridiplantae; Streptophyta; Magnoliopsida; Malpighiales; Euphorbiaceae. The record is from RNAcentral.